RNAcentral lists this unclassified non-coding RNA (1402 nucleotides) under Leishmania donovani. Its description in RNAcentral is "gene:LdHU3.15.0910(CDS-product:hypothetical_prote in_conserved)". Lineage: Eukaryota; Euglenozoa; Kinetoplastea; Trypanosomatida; Trypanosomatidae. The record is from RNAcentral.
CUCACGCGCACGCGGACGCAGACGCUUUCCGUACGUACCCAAACCUGUGGUGAAACUCCCAGCGCCCUCGCCGACCCACGCACCCGCACACGCGCUGGCAAGCAUGAGCUCCCAGCAGCAUGCCUUUGAAAAGUCGCGAGAGCAGGCAAAGGAAUACCUUAGCAAGGAUGCCAUGAAAGAGCUCAGGGCCAGCCUCGACCCCAGCGCUACCCGCGCCCGUCACGGUCUCUUGCCGAAAGACUUUCAGACAACCGACGAGGAGCACGAGCGGCGUGUAAACGACUACAUCCGGAGCCACAGCACGUGGCGCAAGGACGUCUACGUGCUCCGCAGCUACGAGUACUGGAAGCUGCGCGCCGACUACUAUCCGUACAUUCGCCGUAGUGACGAGAAGGACAACUUCUUUCUCCGCGGCAUCACGUGCCACCCGCGCCUAUCUGACUACCCCGUGUGCAAGGCUGUCAUCCGUGACUACUUUGUGUGCCGUGACAGGAACCCGGUCCUGCAGAUCUUUAACGCCUGUGCGCCUCUGAAGGAGCAGUUCUGCGCGUGCAUCAACGAGGUCUUUCUCAAGAACCACGAGCGUGGCGACAAGAAGUUCAACGCCCACCGUGACGAGUUCUUCGAGGUGCAGCGGUCGAAGCGAUUUGCGAAGAUGCUAAACCAUGUGGAGGAGUCGAUGGAGGCCAAGACGAAGUUGCAGGACUGAGCAGAAGGUAGCCAACAUCGACGUAUGGCGACAUCUAUGCGCGGUAGAGAGAAAGAGGAAUACCAAGAGAGGCGAUGCGCCGGCCCGUUUUUUCUUUCGUUUGUGCGUGCGUUUGCCAGUGAGUGCUUCGUUUUGCUCUCCUUCCUUGGCCCGUCCCUCCCUCCCCCUCUCUCUCUUCUCCCACCCACCCUCGCACCCGCCUUGGCUGAUGCCUUAUCCUCUUUGGUUGUUUGUUUCAGGAAUGUGUCUGUGCUAGUCCGCCAGAUCGGUGGAGAUGUUCUGUUUUGCGUGCUUCUUGCGGUCGUCGCUUCUCUGUGUUCUGUUGGUAUCUUGUCGUCACUCUUAUCCGUUGGCCGGCGCACACACGCCCAUCUCAGCUGCCCCUCCUUCCCCCUCCUUGCGCUCCUGGACGAUACACGUCUGAUGGCAACGUUGCUGGCUUGCCAGGUGGCAGGACAGAAGCGGUGGUUGUCGCUGAGAAGUAAACCGAAGCGGCAGCAAUGGCUCAUCCCCGUGCGACUCCUCUAGCACGCAUUAUUCUCUCACCUCUGACGUCGUGCCUACCUACUCUUGAUCCGGCCACCCCGCCCCUCACCGUCUCCGCUGUGUUGCUUUCUUUCUCCUCUACGCCGCCGAUGGCUUUUGUGUGCAUGUGUGUGUGUGGAUACAUCUCCAUCCGGUGUCGUGACGAAG